UCUCUGUAGACAAAGCCACACUAAC
This 25-nucleotide non-coding RNA is filed under the name Cricetulus griseus (Chinese hamster). The record is from RNAcentral. Lineage: Eukaryota; Metazoa; Chordata; Mammalia; Rodentia; Cricetidae.